GAGAAGAAUUGCUUUAAACAGAGAGAGGGCUAGCUAGCUAGCCAGCAAGAGUAAAUGUACUUCAGAGCUGAGAUGAGAAGUAUCAUUUAAAUUUGAUGAUAUUCCUCUAGUACUGGAAGUGAUAUUGAUCUUCGUGGGUAAACGGGUAAUGGCUUUUACAGUGGAGAGAUGUGAUGUAGAGAUGGUGUUCUCUGUAGAUUCACAGAAGGCAGUUCCUGCACCAUUCUUAACCAAGACUUAUCACCUUGUUGAUGACCCUAUCACUGACCACAUAGUCUCUUGGGGAGAUGAUAAUACCUCCUUUGUUGUGUGGAAACCUCCUGAAUUUGCAAGAGAUCUCCUCCCCAAUUACUUCAAGCACAACAACUUC
RNAcentral lists this unclassified non-coding RNA (370 nucleotides) under Hevea brasiliensis (rubber tree). The record is from RNAcentral. Lineage: Eukaryota; Viridiplantae; Streptophyta; Magnoliopsida; Malpighiales; Euphorbiaceae.